AAAAAACAAGAGCUAGGUAGAAAUUGAUUCUACCAGAAACCGUAGUGUCGUAGAUCAACAAGUCGUCGAUCAAGUUCAAUCAUGUUGUUGGUGUUGAAGAAAGAACAUCUAUUGGGCUUGACAAAGAAGAAGAAGAAGAAGAAGAAGAAGAAGACGAAGACGAAGAAGAAGAAAAGGAGGAGGAGAAUUUGGGAAGGGAAGGUGUCUGCUGUCAUGGGAGAAAGAGGAGGAGGUGCAAAGGAUUAGGGGUUUGAAGGAUAAGAGCAGGAGGUGUAGAGGGAGAAAGUAGCAGCCAUGGUUGGAGCUGUUGAAGCUCUAGUUAGGAUUAGAGAAGUGAAAGCAGUAUUUUUGGUGUGUGAGGGAGAGAGUUCGGAGAAAAACAAGGUUAGUCAAACGUUAAGAUUGAUUAAAACAUGUGGCUAUGAUGAUGCCACGUUAGACAGUGAAACUUUACUUUGUGAAUGAAAGAAUUUUCGUGUUAUUUGAUGUGGUUGUAUGUUUUUCAAUUGCACCAUAAUUAAGUGUUUUAGGCUUCUUUUUUUUUUGAACUUAUCAAGUGUUUUAAGUUGUUAGUCAAUGUCUAGUAAGGAUUAGUUAGAUAUUGAUCAUAAUCUAGAUAUAGCCCUUGAUUUAAUCGAUUGAUGUCUCUUGAGUUUGAUUGUUGUUUCCUCCUAACCUGUUUUGAAAAGCUGAGGUGUGCCGUUUCAAAUGCUAUUAAUUAAUAAUUUAUCCACAUAUUUUAAGUACUUAUAUUCUAUCUUUUUUAUGUGGUAAUUUGAGUCGAUAAUAUCACUCAAAUUUAAUGAAACAUUUACUAUAUACUAAAGUUGAGUUACUGUAGCUAAGCUUUUUGAGAUUAUUUACGUUAUUGCCAUAACGGGCCACUCAGCCCUUAUUUGUUGUUUUGGGCCUUAUUUGUUCUUUCAUCGCUCUAUUCUUUUCUCACUUUCUUCCUGUUUUUUUUUUCCCAAGAAAUUCUCACACACCGCACAGCAGCCUGCCACCUCUGUAGCUGAGUUUUCUUCAUUGUUUUUUCAGAAACUGAUUUCUCCAGAAAUUGACACAAUAGAGAGAGAGAGAGAGAGCAGAAGAAAGACUGAAUCGGCUGGAAACUGAAAAGUGUACUCCUCUUCAAACGUUUGGGAUUUUCGGAAGUGCAUGAUCUUUGUCUCUCAGGUAAGUCACAUCCCCUUUUUCCCUUUUGGUUUCUAGGGAUUCAGUUUCAGAGAACAGUGCAGUCUUAAUCACCAAUUUAACUAAAUACUAAGCGGCCUGGCACCGCCUUACUGUUCCCGUGAACAGUGUCAGUUGGGCGUGGGUCGUUUUCUUUUUCUUCCUCUCUCUCGAUCUCUAAACCCACCACCCACCUCAGUUUCCAUUAGUUUCCAGAGCUCUCUCUCGAUCUCUCUACACUCCACCUCUCUUAACCUCUCCUUCCCUCUCUUUCGUCGCUUCCUUCAUCAGUCUCAGCCAAUUGUAGUCUCUCCCUCUCUCUGCUUCUGUUUGGAAAAAAAGGAGAAGGAGCGCAGAGAUUGAUUAAUCCAACUUUAGAUUCAUUGCAGUCGGUCUUGCACACCUCUGGAAGAAUCUGGGCUCCUUCUCCUUUUUUUUCCAAACUAGAAGCAGAGAGANNNNNNNNNNNNNNNNNNNNCCUCGCCAACAUUCAUCAUGUUGUUUAUAAAGUGGUUGUAACUAAAUUUGGUUUCUAA
This 1709-nucleotide long non-coding RNA is filed under the name Fragaria vesca (wild strawberry). RNAcentral's name for it is "long non-coding RNA (FVES_LNC003359)". Lineage: Eukaryota; Viridiplantae; Streptophyta; Magnoliopsida; Rosales; Rosaceae. The record is from RNAcentral.